This 482-nucleotide ribosomal RNA is filed under the name uncultured bacterium. Its description in RNAcentral is "partial 16S ribosomal RNA". It matches the Rfam family "Bacterial small subunit ribosomal RNA", at positions 28 to 523 of the family's 1533-position model. The record is from RNAcentral.
GACGAACGCUGGCGGCGUGCUUAACACAUGCAAGUCGAACGAUGAAGCCCAGCUUGCUGGGUGGAUUAGUGGCGAACGGGUGAGUAACACGUGGGCAACCUGCCCCAAACUCUGGGAUAACUCCUCGAAAGAGGUGCUAAUACCGGAUACGAACUAGACAGACAUCUGUACUAGUUGGAAAGUUUUUCGGUUUGGGAUGGGCCCGCGGCCUAUCAGCUUGUUGGUGAGGUAACGGCUCACCAAGGCUACGACGGGUAACCGGCCUGAGAGGGCGACCGGUCACACUGGGACUGAGACACGGCCCAGACUCCUACGGGAGGCAGCAGUGGGGAAUAUUGCGCAAUGGGCGAAAGCCUGACGCGUCGACGCCGCGUGAGGGAUGAAGGUCUUCGGAUCGUAAACCUCUUUCAGUAGGGACGAAGCGAAAGUGACGGUACCUAAAGAAGAGGCACCGGCUAACUACGUGCCAGCAGCCGCCGCGG